GGUCAAGCGAAUAAGCGCACACGGUGGAUGCCUAGGCGGUCAGAGGCGAUGAAGGACGUGGUAGCCUGCGAAAAGUGUCGGGGAGCUGGCAACAAGCUUUGAUCCGGCAAUAUCCGAAUGGGGAAACCCACUGCUUCGGCAGUAUCCUGCAGUGAAUUCAUAGCUGCUGGAAGCGAACCCGGUGAACUGAAAUAUCUAAGUAACCGGAGGAAAAGAAAUCAACCGAGAUUCCCUAAGUAGUGACGAGCGAACGGGGAGCAGCCCUUAAGCUGGAAUGGCUUUAGAAAAACAAUCUGGAAAGAUUGGCCAUAGAAGGUGAUAGCCCUGUAUUUAAAAGGGCCACUCCAGUGAAGACGAGUAGGGCGGGGCACGUGAAACCCUGUCUGAAUAUGGGGGGGCCAUCCUCCAAGGCUAAAUACUCCUGACCGACCGAUAGUGAACCAGUACCGUGAGGGAAAGGCGAAAAGAACCCCGGAGAGGGGAGUGAAAUAGAUCCUGAAACCGUGUGCGUACAAGCAGUAGGAGCUCGCAAGAGUGACUACGUACCUUUUGUAUAAUGGGUCAGCGACUUACUGCUCGUGGCAAGCUUAACCGUAUAGGGGAGGCGAAGGGAAACCGAGUCUGAUAAGGGCGCAUAGUCGCGGGCAGUAGACCCGAAACCGGGUGAUCUAGUCAUGGCCAGGGUGAAGGUGCCGUAACAGGUACUGGAGGCCCGAACCCACGUCUGUUGCAAAAGACGGGGAUGAGCUGUGAUUAGGAGUGAAAAGCUAAUCGAACCCGGAGAUAGCUGGUUCUCCUCGAAAGCUAUUUAGGUAGCGCCUCAUAUGUAUCCUCUCGGGGGUAGAGCACUGUUAUGGCUAGGGGGUCAUCGCGACUUACCAAACCAUUGCAAACUCCGAAUACCGAGACGGACUGUAUGGGAGACACACGGCGGGUGCUAACGUCCGUCGUGAAAAGGGAAACAACCCAGACCCACAGCUAAGGUCCCAAAUUCACUGCUAAGUGGAAAACGAUGUGGAAAGGCAUAGACAGCCAGGAGGUUGGCUUAGAAGCAGCCACCCUUUAAAGAAAGCGUAAUAGCUCACUGGUCGAGUCGGUCUGCGCGGAAGAUUUAACGGGGCUAAGCAGUGAACCGAAGCUUGGGGUGCAUAAAACUUGUUUUAUGCGCGGUAGAGGAGCGUUCCGUAAGCCUGCGAAGGUGGAUUGAGAAGUCUGCUGGAGGUAUCGGAAGUGCGAAUGCUGACAUGAGUAACGAUAAUGCGGGUGAAAAGCCCGCACGCCGAAAGCCCAAGGUUUCCUUGCGCAACGUUAAUCGACGCAGGGUUAGUCGGUCCCUAAGGCGAGGGCGAAAGCCGUAGUCGAUGGGAAGCAGGUUAAUAUUCCUGCACCUCGCGUGAGUGCGAUGGAGGGACGGAGAAGGUUAGGUGUACCGGGCGUUGGUUGUCCCGGGGAAAGGCGGUAGGUUUGGAUCUUUGGCAAAUCCGGGAUCCUUUAAGACCGAGCACCGAGACGAGCCUUUAUGGCGAAGUCACUGAUACCACGCUUCCAGGAAAAGCUCCUAAGCUUCAGCUCACGAAGACCGUACCGUAAACCGACACAGGUGGGUAGGAUGAGAAUUCUCAGGCGCUUGAGAGAACUCGGGUGAAGGAACUAGGCAACAUGGCACCGUAACUUCGGGAGAAGGUGCACCCUUUUUGGUGGCUCGUGCGAGCUAUAGCUGAAGAGGGUCGCAGAAACCAGGCCGCUGCGACUGUUUAUCAAAAACACAGCACUCUGCAAACACGAAAGUGGACGUAUAGGGUGUGACGCCUGCCCGGUGCUGGAAGGUUAAUUGAUGGGGUCAGCCGCAAGGCGAAGCUCUUGAUCGAAGCCCCAGUAAACGGCGGCCGUAACUAUAACGGUCCUAAGGUAGCGAAAUUCCUUGUCGGGUAAGUUCCGACCUGCACGAAUGGCGUAACGACAGCGGCGCUGUCUCCACCCGAGACUCAGUGAAAUUGAAAUCGCUGUGAAGAUGCAGCGUUCCCGUGGCAAGACGGAAAGACCCCGUGAACCUUUACUAUAGCUUUACACUGAACGUUGAGUUCGUCUGUGUAGGAUAGGUGGGAGGCUAUGAAACUGUGGCGCUAGCUGCAGUGGAGCCAUCCUUGAAAUACCACCCUGUCGUGCUUGACGUUCUAACCUAGGUCCGUUAUCCGGAUCAGGGACCGUGUAUGGUGGGUAGUUUGACUGGGGCGGUCUCCUCCUAAAGAGUAACGGAGGAGCACGAAGGUACGCUCAGCGCGGUCGGACAUCGCGCACUGUGUGCAAAGGCAUAAGCGUGCUUGACUGCAAGAUCGACGGAUCAAGCAGGUACGAAAGUAGGUCUUAGUGAUCCGGUGGUUCUGUAUGGAAGGGCCAUCGCUCAACGGAUAAAAGGUACUCCGGGGAUAACAGGCUGAUACCGCCCAAGAGUUCAUAUCGACGGCGGUGUUUGGCACCUCGAUGUCGGCUCAUCACAUCCUGGGGCUGUAGUCGGUCCCAAGGGUAUGGCUGUUCGCCAUUUAAAGUGGUACGCGAGCUGGGUUCAGAACGUCGUGAGACAGUUCGGUCCCUAUCUGCCAUGGGCGUUGGAAGUUUGAGAGGGGCUACUCCUAGUACGAGAGGACCGGAGUGGACGAACCUCUGGUGUUCCGGUUGUCACGCCAGUGGCAUUGCCGGGUAGCUAUGUUCGGAAGCGAUAACCGCUGAAAGCAUCUAAGCGGGAAGCGCGCCUCAAGAUGAGACUUCCCGGGGCACAAGCCCCCUAAAGGAACCAUGUAGACUACGUGGUUGAUAGGUCAGGUGUGUAAGUACAGCAAUGUAUUGAGCUAACUGAUACUAAUGAUCCGUGCGGCUUGACCAU
RNAcentral lists this ribosomal RNA (2881 nucleotides) under Xanthomonas campestris pv. daturae. RNAcentral describes it as "23S ribosomal RNA". It matches the Rfam family "Bacterial large subunit ribosomal RNA". Lineage: Bacteria; Pseudomonadati; Pseudomonadota; Gammaproteobacteria; Lysobacterales; Lysobacteraceae. The record is from RNAcentral.